Molecule: ribosomal RNA, 1104 nt
Filed under: uncultured organism
Description: bacterial SSU rRNA
Rfam family: Bacterial small subunit ribosomal RNA
Source: RNAcentral
GGAAUAUUGGUCAAUGGGCGAAAGCCUGAACCAGCCAUGCCGCGUGAAGGAUGACGGCGCUAUGCGUUGUAAAACUUCUUUUAAUACGGGAAGAAACCGUCCUAACGUGUAAUGGCGUUGACGGUACCGUACGAAUAAGCAUCGGCUAACUCCGUGCCAGCAGCCGCGGGUAAUACGGAGGAUGCAAGCGUUAUCCGGAUUUAUUGGGUUCAAAGGGUGCGUAGGCGGAAAAUUAACGUCAGUGGUGAAAUCCUGCGGCUCAACCGUAGAACUGUCAUUGAUACUGAUUUUCUUGAAUACAGUUGAGGUAAGGCGGAAUGUGUAAUGUAGCGGUGAAAUGCUUAGAUAUUACACAGAACACCGAUUGCGAAGGCAGCUUACUAAACUGUGAUUGACGCUGAGGCACGAAAGCGUGGGGAGCGAACAGGAUUAGAUACCCUGGUAGUCCACGCCGUAAACGAUGAUCACUCGUUGUUGGCAAUACAUCGUCAGCGACUGAGCGAAAGCAUUAAGUGAUCCACCUGGGGAGUACGAUCGCAAGAUUGAAACUCAAAGGAAUUGACGGGGGCCCGCACAAGCGGAGGAACAUGUGGUUUAAUUCGAUGAUACGCGAGGAACCUUACCUGGGCUUAAAUGUAGAACGACGGACCGGGAAACUGGUCUUUCUUCGGACGUUCUGCAAGGUGCUGCAUGGCUGUCGUCAGCUCGUGCCGUGAGGUGUCGGGUUAAGUCCCAUAACGAGCGCAACCCUCAUCAUUAGUUGCCAGCGGGUAAUGCCGGGGACUCUAAUGAAACUGCCGGUGUAAACCGAGAGGAAGGUGGGGAUGACGUCAAGUCAGCACGGCCCUUAUGUCCAGGGCUACACACGUGUUACAAUGGUCAGUACAAAGGGCAGCUACCAUGCGAAUGGAUGCUAAUCUCGAAAACUGAUCUCAGUUCGGAUCGAAGUCUGCAACUCGACUUCGUGAAGUUGGAUUCGCUAGUAAUCGCGCAUCAGCCACGGCGCGGUGAUACGUUCCCGGGCCUUGUACACACCGCCCGUCAAGCCAUGGAAGCCGGGGGUACCUGAAGUUCGUAACCGCAAGGAGCGACACUAGGGUAAAA